RNAcentral lists this ribosomal RNA (484 nucleotides) under uncultured bacterium. RNAcentral's name for it is "partial 16S ribosomal RNA". It matches the Rfam family "Bacterial small subunit ribosomal RNA", at positions 30 to 507 of the family's 1533-position model. The record is from RNAcentral.
AUUGAACGCUGGCGGCAGGCCUAACACAUGCAAGUCGAGCGGAUGAAGGGAGCUUGCUCCUGGCUUCAGCGGCGGACGGGUGAGUAAUGCCUAGGAAUCUGCCUGGUAGUGGGGGAUAACGUCCGGAAACGGGCGCUAAUACCGCAUACGUCCUGAGGGAGAAAGUGGGGGAUCUUCGGACCUCACGCUAUCAGAUGAUCCUAGGUCGGAUUAGCUAGUUGGUGGGGUAAAGGCCUACCAAGGCGACGAUCCGUAACUGGUCUGAGAGGAUGAUCAGUCACACUGGAACUGAGACACGGUCCAGACUCCUACGGGAGGCAGCAGUGGGGAAUAUUGGACAAUGGGCGAAAGCCUGAUCCAGCCAUGCCGCGUGUGUGAAGAAGGUCUUCGGAUUGUAAAGCACUUUAAGUUGGGAGGAAGGGCAGUAAGUUAAUACCUUGCUGUUUUGACGUUACCAACAGAAUAAGCACCGGCUAACUUCGUG